GCAUGGCUCUGGAUUUAUGGCGAUUCUGAUUCCAUGAAUCUCUCCAUAGUGUACUGCAUGCUACAGCAAUCUGUUACCCCGAACCAUUGGCUAGUCUGGCUUGCUGUAGCCUUGGCCACUGAAGUGGGUGCCACAUAU
Hemicordylus capensis (graceful crag lizard) is the source of this 138-nucleotide small nucleolar RNA. RefSeq annotates it as small nucleolar RNA SNORA42/SNORA80 family. NCBI's taxonomy places the organism in Eukaryota, Metazoa, Chordata, Lepidosauria, Squamata, Cordylidae. The record is from RefSeq and is a predicted model, not a curated record. The transcript has a single exon.